UACGUAGGGGGCAAGCGUUGUCCGGAUUUAUUGGGCGUAAAGAGCGUGUAGGCGGCCAUACAGGUCAGCUGUGAAAACUCGAGGCUCAACCUCGAGCUGUCGGUGGAAACCGUGUGGCUAGAGUCCGGAAGAGGAGAGUGGAAUUCCCGGUGUAGCGGUGAAAUGCGCAGAUAUCGGGAAGAACACCCGUGGCGAAGGCGGCUCUCUGGGACGGUACUGACGCUGAGACGCGAAAGCGUGGGGAGCGAACAGG
This 253-nucleotide ribosomal RNA is filed under the name uncultured bacterium. Its description in RNAcentral is "partial 16S ribosomal RNA". It matches the Rfam family "Bacterial small subunit ribosomal RNA", at positions 524 to 776 of the family's 1533-position model. The record is from RNAcentral.